RNAcentral lists this non-coding RNA (242 nucleotides) under Phaeobacter sp. CECT 5382. The record is from RNAcentral. Lineage: Bacteria; Pseudomonadati; Pseudomonadota; Alphaproteobacteria; Rhodobacterales; Roseobacteraceae. RNAcentral also lists the same sequence under 1 other name.
CGCUAGCGCUAGGGGGAUGGUUCCCGUGACACACAAUCCUGUGUGGACGGGAUGAAAAGGGAACGCGGUGCGAUCUGACAGGUUUGUUCAGGUCAACUCCGUGACUGCCCCCGCAACUGUAGGCGGCGAGCACCCCGGAUGAACCACUGGCCAGACGCGCUCCUUUGGACGCCCCUGGCUGGGAAGGACCGGAGCUGCGACGACCCGCGAGUCAGGAGACCUGCCAUCACAUGGAAACUCGA